This 457-nucleotide ribosomal RNA is filed under the name uncultured bacterium. Its description in RNAcentral is "bacterial SSU rRNA". It matches the Rfam family "Bacterial small subunit ribosomal RNA", at positions 340 to 786 of the family's 1533-position model. The record is from RNAcentral.
UACGGGAGGCAGCAGUGGGGAAUAUUGCACAAUGGGCGCAAGCCUGAUGCAGCCAUGCCGCGUGUAUGAAAAAGGCCUUUCGGGUUGUAAAGUACUUUCAGUCGUGAGGAAGGUGUUAAGGUUAAUAACCUUAGCAAUUGACGUUAGCGACAGAAGAAGCACCGGCUAACUCCGUGCCAGCAGCCGCGGUAAUACGGAGGGUGCGAGCGUUAAUCGGAAUUACUGGGCGUAAAGGGCACGCAGGCGGUUAAUUAAGUUGGAUGUGAAAUCCCCCAGGGCUUAAACCUGGGAAUGGCAUUCAAGACUGGUUAGCUAGAGUCUUGUAGAGGGGGUAGAAUUCCAUGUGUAGCGGUGAAAUGCGUAGAGAUGUGGAGGAAUACCGGUGGCGAAGGCGGCCCCUGGACAAAGACUGACGCUCAUGUGCGAAAGCGUGGGGAGCAAACAGGGAUUAGAUACC